CUUUACAGCCAUACCACCCUGAACAUGCCCAAUCUCAUCUGAUCUUGCAAGCUAAGCAGGGUUGGGCCCGUUUAGUCCUUGGAUAGA
Molecule: ribosomal RNA, 87 nt
Filed under: Mustela putorius furo (domestic ferret)
Lineage: Eukaryota; Metazoa; Chordata; Mammalia; Carnivora; Mustelidae
Source: RNAcentral